RNAcentral lists this ribosomal RNA (425 nucleotides) under uncultured cyanobacterium. Its description in RNAcentral is "bacterial SSU rRNA". It matches the Rfam family "Bacterial small subunit ribosomal RNA", at positions 356 to 795 of the family's 1533-position model. The record is from RNAcentral. Lineage: Bacteria; Bacillati; Cyanobacteriota.
GGGGAAUUUUCCGCAAUGGGCGAAAGCCUGACGGAGCAAUACCGCGUGAGGGAAGACGGCCUAUGGGUUGUAAACCUCUUUUCUCAGGGAGGAAAUCAAUGACGUUACCUGAGGAAUAAGCAUCGGCUAACUCCGUGCCAGCAGCCGCGGUAAGACGGAGGAUGCAAGUGUUAUCCGGAAUCACUGGGCGUAAAGCGUCUGUAGGUGGCUUAACAAGUCAACUGUUAAAUCUUGAAGCUCAACUUCGAAAUCGCAGUCGAAACUGUUAGGCUAGAGUAUAGUGGGGGUAAAGGGAAUUUCCAGUGGAGCGGUGAAAUGUGUAGAGAUUGGAAAGAACACCGAUGGCGAAGGCACUUUACUGGGCUAUUACUGACACUCAGAGACGAAAGCUAGGGUAGCAAAUGGGAUUAGAUACCCCAGUAGUC